CCUUUAACCGACUGAAAAAAAUGGAGAGGAAUACACAAAAAAUGAGGAGUGGUGCCUCUAAUCCAUGCCAGAGGAUAACCCAUGAAGAUCUUUGCAAUUUGCUGAAGAGACUUCAGAAACUGAUGAAUAGACUUGGAUAUGGAUCAUCUAGAAAGAGACCCAGAGAGCAGCCUGCUAUUGCCUCUCUGUCUUCUCAAAGAGGAAUGUUCAAUGUACAAACAAAUUAUGAACAAAACACAGUUCCUGUUUUUAAUACCUAUGAAGAAUACCAUAAGACGGUUCUUCAGUCAUUUGAAAAUAUUUCAAUUGUACUGAACAUAGAAGGAAAAGUUGUUUUUGUAUCCCAGAAUGUGACACCUCUUCUUGGCUAUCUUCCAGAAGAUAUAAUUGGGACGAGCCUAUUAAAUCUUGUUCAUGAUGAACAAAAGGAUGACAUAUCUGAGAAGAUCAUUCUAAAUCUUCCAUUGGCAAAUAUAGUGGGAAGCCUAAUCGAAUUUUGCUGUUAUAUAAGAAAAGGAAAUGUAGGUCAGAGUGGCCAGGACACAUAUUGUUACAGGACCAUGUACCAAGGGAGACAUAUAUAUGAGUACGUGAAAUUCAUCUUGUACCUACAGGAUUCUUAUGAUGAGUCAUUUGUAUUUUUUGGAAACUUCGGUCCUAAUAGCAGAAAGAUUUGGUCUUCUGCUCCAAGGCUGUUAUGGGAGGAAAAGUACUAUGUUGUGGGAAACAUUUCUGUUCUACGUACGCCGGAUGAGACAGCACAACCAGUUAACAUUCAAACAAAUGCUGUAGAUGAUGAUUCUGAUGAUGACAGUACUUUACAACACCAUAGGCUUCGAAAACGCCACCGUAGGAACAAAAUGCAAACAGAUGCUCAGGCUGAAGCUGUGAAUGUGGAGGAGUGUCCUGAAGCAGGCACAGAAGUUGAGAUUGUAGAAGUUCAAGCAGCCACUCAGCGAAUGCCAUUUGACUUAAUUCAGGUCCGGACACCCUCUCACUCAAGCAUAAACCCAGAAUUAAGUGCAGCUACAAGCAUAAGCACUGGCAUGAGGACAAGCACAAGUUCUUCAUCUACAAAUAUUUCAUCAACAACACCAGUAUCAACAUAGGGAACAAGAACAAUGUGAAUAUGAAUUCUCCCAGUGUACUGGAAUGCUUCGAAACUUAAAAUAUGAAUGGCCUGGGCAGCAACAUACUGGGCAAGGACAAGGACCUCGUGGAUAUCAUAGAGGAGAACAGGUGGUGACUGUUAUAGAUGACGUGGGGUCACCCACCAUGGAAUUUUUUGGAAAUGACAAUUCUCAGCAUUCACGAAAUGAGACACAUAGAUGUUGGGAGGAUCCUAUUGAUUGUGCCCCUCCACCUCUGCAUCAUUCAUCAAGAUCAUUCCAAGAAAUGACUGGAUUACAUCAAACAUUGGCAGCCUCAUUUCAACCAUCAUUACUGUCAUGUCAAGCAUCAUUAGUGUCAUGUCCAGCAUCUUUACCAUCAUGUUCAGCAUCUGCACCAUCAUGUAUAGUACCUGUACCGAUACAUAAAGAAUCUGUACCAAUAUGUCAAGUUUCUGCACCAAUAAGUGUAGCAUAUGCACCAUUAAUCCAAGUGUAUGCAUCAAAAUGUCAACCAUCUGCACAGUUAUGUCAAGCAUUGGCAGCUUCACGUCAGGCAUCUGGAAUGUUAUGUCAAACAUCUGUAGUGACACAUCAAGUAUCUGCACCUCGAUGUCAAUCAUUGGCAGUGUCACAUCAAGCAUCUGCACCAUCACGUCAAGCAUCAGUGGUGUCACAACAAGUAUUGGCAGAAUCAUAUCACCAAUCAGCAAUGUCACCUCAUGUUUCUUUUGACCACCGAAGAGAGAAAAUUCCACGCUUUCUGCCCCCUGGACAAGAUCACUCUGGUUCCAUUCAGGCUGAAUAGGACACUAAUCCUCACCCAUGAGCAGAAGAUGAGGCUGAAGACAGACCUCCACUGUCUGCAUGGCAAAGGGCCAUACAAAAUGGGAGAGUCCCUUGAUGGGAGAGGGUGGGUGGGUCAUACUGCUUUACUUGCAAAUUAAGUUUGUAGUUAUUCUUAAGCAUAGUCAGUUUAUUGUAAAUAUUGCUGCAGAAGUUGACUGUUAAAUCCUACUUGGUGGGUGAUAACAGGUGAUCCCUGGCCCCUGCUUUUUUAACACCACUUUGUGUAUAUUUAUAUCCAGAUGUGCUUUUGUUGUGGCAUGAGCAGUGUGUCAGGGUCCUACAUAUUUUUCUUGAUGAAAUUUAAAAUACCAUAGAAUUGCAAGACAGGGGGGAAACCUGUUCUAUCAUGUAGUUUUCCCAAAUUCUGAGGCCUUGUUUAUUUUUUUUUUAUUUCUAUCUCUUUUCUGUAGCCCGGUGCUAUUUGAUAUCCUAUGUUAAAUGGUUACCCAAUUGUGAGCAAGUAAUAUCUGUUCAAAAUAGUAUACAUAUUUACUUAAUAAACACUAUGUUCAACUACAAGUCUU
This is a non-coding RNA of Arvicanthis niloticus (Nile rat), 2482 nucleotides long. The record is from RefSeq and is a predicted model, not a curated record. Lineage: Eukaryota; Metazoa; Chordata; Mammalia; Rodentia; Muridae.